CAGACCAAGGCCCUAUUUGAGCAGAGAAUCUUAACCAUAUUUAUGGAGUAAGUGAAUAAUUCGGAGGCAAAAUAGAAAGAUGUCUAAAAAAUUUUAUUUUUGUUAAAAAAAUUAGUUAUUCAAUUAUAAGUAAGUAAAGAUUAUAAUCGUUUGCGAGUCCACUACCCAUAUCCACCGCAUCCCACCUAAGCGGAGCGUAGGCCCCUUGGACCGAGCCAAAACCCAUGAAGCUGGAGCUUUAUUAAUCAAGCUUGAAGUGAGGACACCGACAUCUCUCACGGUGGUCUACAAAUUAGUCUUAAAGAUAUAAAGUUAAUUGAUUGCUAUAGUGGCAUAUCUAAAGUUGGAUUAUACAUUAAACGUUGAAUGUUCGAUAAAAGAAGCUAGUGAUUAUAAAAUCAUUAAGGGAUUAUUCAUGUCAGUCUCUAUACAAUGUGUUCAGUAGAUCUAAUAAAAGUAGCAAUACAAAUGCUGCCAGUAUACUACAAAUAUCUAAUAGAGUAUCUAAAUUGA
Molecule: long non-coding RNA, 513 nt
Filed under: Elaeis guineensis (African oil palm)
Lineage: Eukaryota; Viridiplantae; Streptophyta; Magnoliopsida; Arecales; Arecaceae
Description: long non-coding RNA (EGUI_LNC030477)
Source: RNAcentral